Molecule: unclassified non-coding RNA, 628 nt
Filed under: Drosophila ananassae
Lineage: Eukaryota; Metazoa; Arthropoda; Insecta; Diptera; Drosophilidae
Description: GF27847
Source: RNAcentral
AGCCAUGCAACAAUAACAAAUAAGCGGCCCACAGAGCGAGGAGGAGGCUGGCAGGCAGAAGGAUAAAGAACUCGACUCCCAGCUCAACCGGAGCGGCGGCAAGAAAUCUGCAUAAUGAAGCGUAAUACGCAAAUGGUGUGGAGUUGUGAUUGGACCCGGAUUCCGCGAAUUGAGCUGCUCAAAUCGGGUGCAAACAGGAAGAAGCUUACGUAUCCCUCAGGAUUCUUAAAUAUUCGCGAUACGCGCUGUCACUUGAAUUGUAAAUAUCAAACAGGUUCAUUUAAAAUUAAUAGCCAACUGCCCAGCUAUUAGCCCCACAUCCUGAAUAAACUUUUAUAAUUCUUUUUAUAGAUCCGCAACAAGCGCAUAUUUCAAUAAUGGCAUCCAAUCCAAUUUCUUGGACUCGAGAGCGCACCCCUUGAAGUUAUUAAAAGAUUUGUGGGGCCCAGGAUCAGGGGUCAAGAGUAACCACCCCUUUAGCCCCUCACACUGAAUGAAUCUGGAAUCUGAAAUCAGGAAGCCAAGAGGAGUAUAGUCACUUUCGAUACGCCUCUUUGGCAGCAGUUUGUUUGGGCGUGUUAAAAGUUAAAAUAAAUCAAACUGCCAUAAAUUUCCCGCUUUCGGCAAU